RNAcentral lists this long non-coding RNA (1109 nucleotides) under Musa acuminata (dwarf banana). Its description in RNAcentral is "long non-coding RNA (MACU_LNC002646)". Lineage: Eukaryota; Viridiplantae; Streptophyta; Magnoliopsida; Zingiberales; Musaceae. The record is from RNAcentral.
CCUCCUCCCCGGCUCCGGCGGUCGGUAGUGUCGCUGCCCUGCGGUUCUCUUGGCCAUGAGUCGUGCCUCUUCCAGCUCGUUUUAGUUCGGACUCGUCCUUCUCCUACCCCGAUCUGUCUCCUGGGUACUCUCCUCUGAAGUAAAAAUCGGAUUUUUCGCGGGGUUUUGCCCUCUUUUCCCGCUGCUCGAUCUCUUAAACAAAACGUUAUGGGGUUUUCACUGGCUUUCAUGGUUUCGAGGGGUUUUGGCUGCGAUUCCUCGUAAAAUGUUAGUCCAUUUCGGCUUUUUAGGAAAGAUAUAGUCUUUCUGCCAAAAAAUGUCAAAAGAUCUUUCUGUUCUAUCCAAAAACUCUACCCUAAUGCGAUUGCUUUCUGGACAUGGAAAAGAGAUAUUUUCGAUUCAUUUAUUGAUUUUGCUGUAAUAAAUUCUGAAGUUUAUGGGAAGAAAGCGUCAAAAGAUCCCUUUUAAUGGAUUAAAGUUUAUGCUCCAAGUGAUUCAUUAAGUGGGUUAACAUUUGUUUUGUACAUUUAUCACUGAUUUAAACAGACUUAAUGCUAAUAUGCAAUCCUCGGUGUAAGAAGUAAGAUGGUCGAAAUAUACGUCGAGGCCAAUAAUAAUUAGAUGCAAAUGAUCCAACCACAUCAUUAGAUUGGAUGAGUUGCUGCAGUGUUUGACAAGGAUUUAGCUGCAAUCCGAUUAAUAAUUCUUUUAUCAGCUAUUUACAUAGUUAUGGUUUAUUUUACUUAAGUUAGCCUGUGUGUCUAAUGUGGAAGCCAUCUCUCACAUACAUAGAAUGGAGGACAUAUGCACAAGUAGAAGGGUAAACUAGGAUAUCUCCGUUUAGUUUCUUUUGUUUCUCAUGUUGAAUGUGCAUUGAUCAGGAUACAAGUUUCGACAUGGCCGAAAUGCUGGUGAUCAGAGAGAAAAAUGAAGUGAAGAAUGGAAAUAAUGAGCCUGUUGAUGCUGAUGAUGACGAAGAUGGUGAUGUUGGGGAGGGUGAAGAUGAGUUGUCUGAUGACAAUGGGGAGGAAUAUGAGAACCCCGAUACCGAUAAUGGCAAGAAAAAUCCAGGUGGAGACGAUCAGAAGGGAGAGGGAGAGGAGGAGGAC